Molecule: ribosomal RNA, 108 nt
Filed under: Candidatus Kaiserbacteria bacterium
Lineage: Bacteria; Candidatus Kaiseribacteriota
Source: RNAcentral
GUUGGUGGUCUAGCGGUGGGGGUACACCCGUUCCCAUUCCGAACACGGAAGUUAAGCCUGCCUGCACCGAUGGUACUUCUUAUGAGGGAGAGUAGGUCACCGCCAACU